This 450-nucleotide ribosomal RNA is filed under the name uncultured bacterium. RNAcentral describes it as "bacterial SSU rRNA". It matches the Rfam family "Bacterial small subunit ribosomal RNA", at positions 354 to 796 of the family's 1533-position model. The record is from RNAcentral.
GUGGGGAAUUUUGGACAAUGGGGGAAACCCUGAUCCAGCCAUCCCGCGUGUGCGAUGAAGGCCUUCGGGUUGUAAAGCACUUUUGGCAGGGAAGAAACGGCGCUGAAUAAUACUUGGCGCAACUGACGGUACCUGCAGAAUAAGCACCGGCUAACUACGUGCCAGCAGCCGCGGUAAUACGUAGGGUGCAAGCGUUAAUCGGAAUUACUGGGCGUAAAGCGUGCGCAGGCGGUUCGGAAAGAAAGAUGUGAAAUCCCAGAGCUUAACUUUGGAAUGGCAUUUUUAACUACCGGGCUAGAGUAUGUCAGAGGGGGGUAGAAUUCCACGUGUAGCAGUGAAAUGCGUAGAGAUGUGGAGGAAUACCGAUGGCGAAGGCAGCCCCCUGGGAUAAUACUGACGCUCAUGCACGAAAGCGUGGGGAGCAAACAGGAUUAGAAACCCUAGUAGUCC